Molecule: long non-coding RNA, 597 nt
Filed under: Triticum aestivum (bread wheat)
Lineage: Eukaryota; Viridiplantae; Streptophyta; Magnoliopsida; Poales; Poaceae
Description: long non-coding RNA (TAES_LNC025554)
Source: RNAcentral
CCAUCGGAUCGAGGACGUACAACAGAGAUCGGAGGUGGGAAUAUGGCCAUCCACUUAAUAAUUCUUUUGCACAUAACCCCCUGUGCUUAUGUUCUGUCUUGUGAAAGAUUUAGCGAACUAGAAAGAAAAGAAACAAGCAAAACGAAUCUCGACCCAGGCGAGGGCGAGACUUGGCGGCGGCUACUGGACUGCGACUUGGAGGCCGGCGCCGCACCCCUAGCGACGGCGACUUGGAGGCCACGGUGGAGCAACGACGCGACCGCGAUGCCCCCAGGCGAUCUGGCGCAUGCUGGCGGUAUCCCCACCCAACGGCGACGAGACGGCCACCGAGAUAACCCUGGCCAAGGCGACGUCCACGACCCAGCGACCUGGCGCUGGCCCAGGCGAGGGAGACCCAGUGGCGGCGGCCGGCGGCGCUGCCUCCAUGCGACGGCGACCCGGCAACUUGCUUGCCCUCUGGAGCUGUUGUUUUGCUGUAGAUUAAAAUCGUUGGUGUUCUUGCUGUGUAGCUGACUGAAUGGUGAUGUACAGAUAAGAUAAAUCUUUGUUGUUUUACUUCACCUGAAGUGAAAGUGAAAGUGGGUAUUCAAAAAACAC